AACGAACGCUGGCGGCAGGCUUAACACAUGCAAGUCGAACGCCCCGCAAGGGGAGUGGCAGACGGGUGAGUAACACGUGGGAACAUGCCCAGAGGUACGGAAUAUUCUCGGGAAACUGGGAUCAAUACCGGAUGUGGCCGAAAGUGGAAAGAUUUAUCGCCUUUGGAUUGGCCCGCGUCAGAUUAGGUAGUUGGUGGGGUAAUGGCCUACCCAGCCGACGAUCUGUAGCUGGUCUGAGAGGACGACCAGCCACACUGGGACUGAGACACGGCCCAGACUCCUACGGGAGGCAGCAGUGGGGAAUCUUGGACAAUGGGCGCAAGCCUGAUCCAGCCAUGCCGCGUGGAUGAUGAAGGCCCUAGGGUUGUAAAAUCCUUUCGUUGGGGACGAUAAUGACGGUACCCAAAGAAGAAGCUUCGGCUAACUUCGUGCCAGCCGCCGCCGUAA
This 447-nucleotide ribosomal RNA is filed under the name uncultured bacterium. RNAcentral's name for it is "partial 16S ribosomal RNA". It matches the Rfam family "Bacterial small subunit ribosomal RNA", at positions 29 to 523 of the family's 1533-position model. The record is from RNAcentral.